Rhinopithecus roxellana (golden snub-nosed monkey) is the source of this 4740-nucleotide long non-coding RNA. RefSeq lists it as uncharacterized. Lineage: Eukaryota; Metazoa; Chordata; Mammalia; Primates; Cercopithecidae. The transcript is spliced from 3 exons. The record is from RefSeq and is a predicted model, not a curated record.
CCGUGUUAGCCAGGAUGGUCUCGGUUUCAUGACCUCGUGAUCUGCCCGUCUCGGCCUGCCAAAGUGCUGGGAUUAUAGGCGUGAGCCACCGCGCCGGGCCGUAUGUGUGUACCUCUUUACAAGUUUUGCCUGACCCUUGCAUUUAAAAAUUAUUGAAAAACUUAAGGAUGUGACUGACAAGAACUUCAUAGGUUUCUCCAAGUAAAAAUUUGGAAAAGUUAAGGGAACCCAUAAUGUGUUUUAUUUCUAGGAGUCCCACACUUGGAUUUUUAAGUGUGGGCAAAACAUCUCUAAGUUUUUCAGCCUGAUUUCCGUGGAAUUGUGAAUGAAACGUGCUGAAGUUGCCGUGCGGAUUUUGUUAUGUGGCGGUGACAAGUGGGACUGGUCAUUAAGCAAUUGGAGGGAUCCCUGUCUGUUCUGUGCUCCUGUUGGACACUAGGCACGUGCUUGGUGUUUUCUGUGUGUGUGGACAAGAUGAGGACAGAAUUUCUGGAUGAUUCACAUGGUGGUAUCUUCUCCCUUUUCUGUUAAAACGUGUCUUCUGCUUCUACAUAGACCAAGUGUUUCUUUCUCUUGCCUAUCUACAUAAACGCUAUUUAACAAAAACUGUACUGUAGACACGUGAAGCUGAAUUCCACAUUACAAAGCAGAUGGAGAUGACUGAGUAUACUGUUUUGUGGAAGGAAGGUUUAAAAUGAUUUUUAGCUUUUUCCCUGAAAUAGGGAAUAAUUUUACCUUUUUCCCUGAGAUAGGGAAUAAUGAAAUGGGAAAAUAAUUAAAUUUUCCCAUUGAAAGGUUAGAUUAUAUUUAAUUAUUAGAUUAUUCAUGUAUUGCAAGGGAAAAAGGAACUAGAUCACCCCAUCUACCCAAAUGAAAUUUUAAAGGGUACGGGCGAAUUCAUUUGAACUCGUUUAAUUUUUGUUUGUUUGUUUGUUUUUGACAGUCUCACUCUGUUUCUCAGGCUGAGUGCAGUAGUGCAGUGACAGCUCACUGCAACACCAACUUUCCAGGCUCAAGUGAUUUUCCUGCCUCAGCCUCCCCAACUGCUGAGAUUUACAGCAUUAACCACCACACACAGUUUAUCACCUCUUGGAGACCAGCUUUGAGUUUGGGCAUUCAGUGAACUGUAUUUUGGUUAAUUCCCAAAGUUUCUCACUGUUGAUCUUUAAUUUGCUAAAAAUCUAAAUGUAUUGUGAAAUGCGUUACAUUUCCUUAGCAUUCACGGAUUCCCUGUUAGUGGGGCAGAGACGCAGAAGGGCAGAAGGCGUUUGGACAUCAUCAGGGUUGCAGUUGAGUGCUUGCCCCGAACACACUGGAGCUCUGGGCUCUGUGGCCCCACAGGGGUCCUCUGUCCACUGAGGGGGUCGGGUUACCUGGAAGGUUUCUCCAGCCUCUGCGAUUUUGCCCUUUUCAGGUUAACAUCUCAUCGUUGUCUUGGACAGCGUCGCCUUUCGUUCACUGACCCACGAGUGAACAGUUGGUCAGUGGCCAGUGCUGCUUCCUUCAGCUGGGAGGUGGUGAUGUGAUUACACUUCCGUGGAACUUGGUUCUUGGUGUAUUAAGGGUUCAGUUGUAUCUUGAUUUUUAAUCUGCACCUCUGAAUUGGUCUUUUGAUUGCAAAGAGAUUGCUUGCUGCAUUUGUUUCUGAAUAUUUCAUGGAUAACAGGAGAACCUCGCUUAUCUGUGUGUUCAUUUAAUGUGUUUUUGCCGGGCAUUUAAAUGGGUGUGUUAGCCCUUAGCCCACUUUCUGUGUGUGGUGGAUUCAUUGAAAUCAUUUAUAUGAAGUCUCUCUUCUAUUAAGGCCAGAGGACGUGGGGUGCUGUCUCCCUAAACUCGGGGGAAAUGGCAUUGUUCUGCCCUCCUCCCUGGGAACCCUGGUGUUUCCAGGUCUCUGAACUUGGCUCCCACACUGAGAGAGUGGCUGUGGCUUCUGGAGCCCGUUUUGUGUGGGACUGACUCCUUCACUUGCUUUAUUCCCCACCGUCUUGGCUGCUUUAUGACUCAGGGAUGAGGGAGUUGGGCCCGGGGGCCUUGCCUGUGCCUGAAAGGCCCGAUGCAGAAACUCCUCGUGGGAAGGAUGUUCCUUGAGGGCAGCUUUUGGAGUCUUUUCCUACUUUUAACUGAGAAGUAGCUAUUCACAUGGUUCUAUUCUGCUAGUGUGUUUCAAAAUAAUUGGUGUAGAGUUACGAAGAUGUCCGAGACACCCAUGAUCCACUCCGGGCCAGUGCCGGGCAUUGUACUCAGAUGCCUUCAGACCACAUUCAGAUGCCAAAGAUUCUUGCUUGGUUAUUCUCAAACAUAUGAGAAUCUUAAACGCGAGUCACGGUGUGGAUUUUCUCUUGAGCCCCCAUGACUUUGCUUUGUAUUUUGGGGAUGAAUGACUUCAUCAAGGGGAAAGAAUUUGAGGAAGGAACCUCUGAGCCUGGGGAGGGGGGAGGGGCGGGGGACAGAGGGAAAAGGAGCUGUAGGGGGAAGAGCCAGGCUGGGGCAUCUCCCCAUGAUGCUCCCCACCCCUGGCGCGAGGCCCCAGGGACUGACUGACUUUCCCACAGGAAAUGUGUAUGAUUGCGUGUCUGUUUUGUGGGCGGGCCAGUUGGAUUGAGGGAAUGUCCGUGUUGUGAUUCCUUAUUGAUUCGAAGGUUGAAAAGGUUUGUGCUCAAUACAGGGGUCCCUUGGUGCGAUGGGAAAUGUAAUCACAGCCGCCUUCGGGAUGGGGAGAGCCCUCGAAGCCCUCAGUGGGGGCCGGUGCUGGCCUUAACCUCCCUGGAUGGGCUGCCCUCCGGGUGGGAAGGGAGGUCCUCGGUGGUGGCCGCUGCUAGCCUUCGCCUCCCUGGGUGAGUGCUGCUCCAUCCUCGGCUCUCCGACUCCUUGCCUGGCACCUUUCUCGUUGGAGGCCGUGAUCCAUCAGCUUUGUCCACGAGUGUCCUGCAGACUAGUGCUGACUGCAGGUUCAGUGGUGGUCAGAGGAGGCCCUCGUGAUGCGAAGCUAAACGUUUAAUGAUGGCGCUGCUGAGUGCAUGAGCCGCGUCAGCCCAAGAGUCCGGGUAGGAGGGAACCGUGGGGUGGAGGGAAGACUGGACAGAUGGGUGCUUUCUUCAGCCCCUGGGAGCACAGCCAGGUAAAUGCUCAGACCUCCUGGUUUCUCCCGUAUUUCCAUAAAUAGCAAGGGAAGGACUCGGGGCACCCAGGGACCUGAUGGGUAUAAGCUGUGUCCUCUCAUGGCCCCAGCUGUGGCCAGUGACGUUAUUCUCUUUAACCUCAGGCUUAUUUUGUAUAAAAACACAAGGAACAGAAGUAGUUCAAGGGCCUCUAAAGACUUAUGUAAUUGUUAAUAGGCCUACUUUUAUGAUUUCAUAUGUAUUAAGAGCAAAUCAUGAAAAAAACUCAUUUCUGUUUGAAGAAAUCUUUACUGUUCUCAUUUUUGUGGCAAGCAACAUUGAUUCUUUGUUUAGUGAGCGUUAGUGCCCUCCUGCCCAGUGCCACUGCCUGGCGUGUCCUCGCACACGCCUCUGUCCAUUGGUCUCCGUUCACCUAUCCGCCUAGAAUUGUAGGAGGGGCGCUGGGAUCUUAGGGCUAGAAAGAAACUCUGAAGACAACUUUUAGGGGCGGCUUUUAGUCAGGGCUCUCCAGAGAGACAGCCAGCCAGGUGUGCGUGUGUCUCCAGGGGGAGGCUUGCUGCAGGGGCUACAGAGUCCAAGAAGCCCCAGGACCCACAGCCUGCAAGCUAGAGUCCUGGGAGGGUGUGGCUUGAAGUACUUGAGAAGCAGAGGGUGCAGAUCCCAACCGGGUCCGAGAAGCUGAGACCCAGGAACACGGGCGGCAGAAGACGGAUGUUACUGGCCCAUCAGCCAGACAGGUGGAGUGAACCCAGUUUUCCCCGCCUUGCUGUUUUACUUAAGCCCUGGGUGGAUAGGGUAGUGCCCCCCACACUGGCGAAGAUGGGUCUCCACUCAGUCCAGAGGCAAACAUGCAUCUCACACAGAAAUAAUGCAGAACCAGCCAUCUGGGCACCCCGGGCACGCUCAAGUCGAUGCGCAAAACCAACGCCGCGUGUGGCCCUGACGUCUGCGUGUUCGCAUCACUCCACGCACAUUGCUCCGUCGUCGCCUCGUGCCCAGGAGGCUGAUGCCACAUAGAAGACCUGCAGGUCGGCGGAUGUGAAACAGGCAUCGGACACGCUGUGCACCUUGGGACGCAUCUGAGAAGUGCGUGCUUGCAGCAGAUCUGAGCAUUUGAUAGCUUGUGAAACGAGACCAAGACUUUAUAUGAGUGGAUAUGCCAUUAUCUGAGAUCCAGAACGUUCCCUGGACCUGGCCUUGAGGAUGUCAUGUAAAGGGAGGUAAAAACAUUUUCAUUGUGGUCAUUGGGGCUCCUGAAGUGGUGUUCUUCCCAGUGAAAGUUUAUUCAUAAAAAUCUGUUAACUCAGUACUAUGUGAACAGGAAGGAGGUGUGUUGGGCUCUAGUUAAGUGUCUCAGAGCCACAGAGUAAAUGAGGGCACCUUCUGAGCACAGCCUUCUGGAAGAAGCCGAGGACGUUUGCCUGGAGGGUUUGCCGUGAAGCAGGACUCUGGCAGGGCUGGUCUGCCUGGAGAGGCCUCUGGCAUGAUGUAGUUUAGUUGAAGUAGUUGAGGGGUGGUGGCGUGAGGUCGGUGGUCCCCGAGGAAGCCCCUAGCAAGGCCGGUUGCAGUGGGAUGAAAAAUGGCCGUUCAGUGGCUGUAAUCCUCGCUUCACGGGUCCGAC